Phrynosoma platyrhinos (Desert horned lizard) is the source of this 71-nucleotide non-coding RNA. NCBI's taxonomy places the organism in Eukaryota, Metazoa, Chordata, Lepidosauria, Squamata, Phrynosomatidae. The record is from the annotation of a GenBank genome assembly.
GCCAGCAUGGCAUAGUGGUUGAGUGUUGGACUACAAAUCUGGAGACCAGGGUUCGAUUUCCUGCUCAGCCA